This is a long non-coding RNA of Bos taurus (domestic cattle), 724 nucleotides long. The record is from Ensembl. NCBI's taxonomy places the organism in Eukaryota, Metazoa, Chordata, Mammalia, Artiodactyla, Bovidae.
CCUCUAGGUCAUCACAGAGCACUGGGCUGAGCUCCCUGUGUUAUACAGCAACUUCCCUCUAGGGUGAGAAUCAUUCUCCUCACAUUUCCUGGUUGGGAAAUGAUUGAGAAAUACACACAGGCAUCAGGGCUGACCACUAUGGGCAGACAGAUCUGAAUGAGAGAGCUAGAGAAGCCAGGCCUCACACAUGCAGUGACCCAUCCAGCUAUCUACCAGUUAGUGUCUAUUCAUCCAUAAACGGCUCACUUCAAGUUUAGAGCAUGAAUGCCAGUAACAGUGGAGACUAACAGCUUACUCUUUCCUGUUAGAAGAAAAAAGACAAUUGCCUCAAUCAUAGAGUAAAAGCCCUGAGAUUCAAACCAUGGCCUAUUGAAUUCAGGAGUCUGAGUGACUCAGGCCAAAACCAAGCACGGGGGCAAGAAGACUACGAUAACCUUAAAAUAUCAGGCCAAAAAGGGCCUACCUCGAGAUGGGACUAAGGAUGAGGCUAUGGCUCAUCCAAGCCACACAGCUGCUGCAUAACAAAGGAGUGGAACUGAGAAGGACGUUUUUGUAAAGUGACUCUUCAGAUUCUCACAUGCCUGUGGUGUCAGAGGCUCAACAAGACAUCAAAAACGUUUCACAAAGAAACAGAAAGUGCUCAUGUAUGGAUGUGAGAGCUGGACUAUAAAGAAAGCUGAGCAGCUAAGAAUUGAUGCUUUUGAACUGUGGUGUUGGAGAAGAC